Molecule: unclassified non-coding RNA, 244 nt
Filed under: uncultured Ascomycota
Lineage: Eukaryota; Fungi; Ascomycota
Description: sequence contains 5.8S rRNA gene
Source: RNAcentral
GAACGCACAUUGCGCCCUUCGGUAUUCCGUUGGGCAUGCCUGUUCGAGCGUCAUUUAAACCUUCAAGCUAUGCUUGGUGUUGGGUGUUUGUUCCGCCUCAGCGCGUGGACUCGCCUCAAAUUCAUUGGCAGCCGGUAUGUUGGCUUCGUGCGCAGCACAUUGCAAGCGAUUUCAGCAGACCCCCUUCCACAAGCCUUUUUUUACUUUGACCUCGGAUCAGGUAGGGAUACCCGCUGAACUUAAG